UACGAAGGGUGCAAGCGUUAAUCGGAAUUACUGGGCGUAAAGCGUGCGUAGACGGUUACGUAAGUCGGGUGUGAAAGCCCCGGGCUCAACCUGGGAAUUGCAUUCGAGACUGCAUAGCUAGGGUGCGGAAGAGGGAAGCGGAAUUUCCGGUGUAGCGGUGAAAUGCGUAGAUAUCGGAAGGAACACCAGUGGCGAAGGCGGCUUCCUGGCCUGUAACUGACGCUGAGACGCGAAAGCGUGGGGAGCGAACCGG
Molecule: ribosomal RNA, 253 nt
Filed under: uncultured bacterium
Lineage: Bacteria
Description: partial 16S ribosomal RNA
Rfam family: Bacterial small subunit ribosomal RNA
Source: RNAcentral